GGGAGGUGGCGGCGGCUGAGCGGGAGCGGGAUUGUGGCUGCGGGGGAGGAAAGGAUAAGGAUAGGAGGAACGAGAACCUUAGAAAUCGAUUAUAUACUUGUAUAUAAGGUCCACAUGUCAGGCACUAUGUAGCGAGUUCGCGAGUUUGCAGGCACGGGUAAGAUAUUUUUUAUGCCCGCUAAUUUUUUGCACGCGGGCACAAACUCAAACCCGCACCCAUACCCGUGGGCACAAAAUAGCACCUGUAUCCUCGUCUUACCAGAUUUUUGCCCGCGGGCACGCGGGUAAUUUAUGCCCGUUGCCAUCCCUACUCAGCUGGUGAUACAUCAUCCACAUGGUGAAGAGGCGCAUCCAGAAAUUUGUUUUUCGUUGACAGAAGUUGGUCAUCAGAUAAUGCAGAUGAAGGGGAGAGAACUACAUAGCAGGAAUUUGGAAUUAGCUUUUCUUUUACGGCUGAUGUGCACACUUCCACACCUCGAAGUCAAAACAACUAGAUGAAUCGGCAAUGGAUGUACAAUGCAGAUAAAUGCUCGAUGGAGUACAUUAACGACUUUCAUUACUCAUCCAAAAAGACUAUUCACGCCCACAUAUAUAGUUCCGGAUUCAUUCCUAACUAUUUUGUUUGGACCAAGCAUGGGGAAAAGGGAGUUAUGAUGGAAGAUAAUGAUGAAGAAGAAGAUGACAACAUUCCUGACUGGACUCAAGGAGAUACUUAAGUGUUUAAUUUGCUCUAUCUUCAAAAUCUCCACUAUAGUCAUUGUGCGACGUCUUAUCUCCUAUUCUAUUUUGUAUUAUGCAGAAUGGAGAUUCAAGCUUGAGGAAAGGAUUAUAGGAUGUCGGCUUCAUGGACCGGAUAUUAUAAACAAGGCAACUGUAGGAGAUAAACCAAAUCAAACCUUAAAGAAUAUAUAUAUAAUUUCUUGGAUAAGCAACAUUACAAGAAGUACAUACUUCUAUCGUACAACUUCAACUUCCAUUGGAUACUUCUUGUUAUCGUGGUUGAUCGAAGCAUACUCUAUAUCUUGAACUCUCUGAGGGGAUCAAGAAAUCAAUACAAUGACCUUAUAGACAUGCUUAAUACAGCAUUGGCUCGCUUCCGUCAAUAUCACUCAGGUGAAUUUAAGGAGUAACUUCAUAUCCACUUUGAAUUCCCGAUUAUGCACACGAAGGAAGAACUCCUAAAGAUGGAAAAAAUCAGGGCAAUUCAAGAACAACUCAAUGGAUUUCUUCUGGACGAGGUAGUAAAUCCAGCGGUAGAGUUUCAUAAUGAUGGAUCAAAUCCA
Long non-coding RNA from Setaria italica (foxtail millet), 1283 nucleotides. RefSeq lists it as uncharacterized. The transcript is spliced from 4 exons. NCBI's taxonomy places the organism in Eukaryota, Viridiplantae, Streptophyta, Magnoliopsida, Poales, Poaceae. The record is from RefSeq and is a predicted model, not a curated record.